AAGAGAAAGUUUGUACUGCAGAGUCUUUUUGGAAGGACCACUCAGAUCUACAGAAUUACUCCAUACUUAAACCAAGACAAGAGCACAGCCACUAAAUCCCAAGACCUCCAUCUCUUUCAAGAAUGAUGAAGACGGAGGAGAAAAAGGAAUGGCUGAAGGAGAGGCAAAACUGUAGGAGCAGGACUGCUAUAAAAACCCAACGAUCAGGAGUCAAAAGCCAACCAUAGCCCAUCAGCUCCCAGAGCAGAAAGUUCCUUCUCUGCAUGACAAUGAAGAAUUAACAAGAUACCAAAAAUAUAUAUAUACAUUAAAGUCACAGAAAAAAGCA
Long non-coding RNA from Alligator mississippiensis (American alligator), 328 nucleotides. RefSeq lists it as uncharacterized. The transcript has 2 exons. The record is from RefSeq and is a predicted model, not a curated record. Lineage: Eukaryota; Metazoa; Chordata; Crocodylia; Alligatoridae.